Molecule: ribosomal RNA, 315 nt
Filed under: Escherichia coli
Lineage: Bacteria; Pseudomonadati; Pseudomonadota; Gammaproteobacteria; Enterobacterales; Enterobacteriaceae
Description: bacterial SSU rRNA
Rfam family: Bacterial small subunit ribosomal RNA
Source: RNAcentral
UGUCGUCAGCUCGUGUUGUGAAAUGUUGGGUUAAGUCCCGCAACGAGCGCAACCCUUAUCCUUUGUUGCCAGCGGUCCGGCCGGGAACUCAAAGGAGACUGCCAGUGAUAAACUGGAGGAAGGUGGGGAUGACGUCAAGUCAUCAUGGCCCUUACGACCAGGGCUACACACGUGCUACAAUGGCGCAUACAAAGAGAAGCGACCUCGCGAGAGCAAGCGGACCUCAUAAAGUGCGUCGUAGUCCGGAUUGGAGUCUGCAACUCGACUCCAUGAAGUCGGAAUCGCUAGUAAUCGUGGAUCAGAAUGCCACGGUGA